Molecule: ribosomal RNA, 253 nt
Filed under: uncultured bacterium
Lineage: Bacteria
Description: partial 16S ribosomal RNA
Rfam family: Bacterial small subunit ribosomal RNA
Source: RNAcentral
GACAGAGGGUGCAAACGUUGUUCGGAAUUACUGGGCGUAAAGCGCGUGUAGGCUGCUCGGAAAGUCGGGUGUGAAAGCCCUGGGCUCAACCUAGGAAGUGCACUCGAAACUUCCGAGCUGGAGUGCUGGAGAGGAAGGCGGAAUUCUCGGUGUAGAGGUGAAAUUCGUAGAUAUCGAGAGGAACACCUGCGGCGAAGGCGGGUUGCUGGGCCGCCACUGACGCUGAUGCGCGAAAGCCAGGGGAGCGAACGGG